GACGAACGCUGGCGGCGUGCUUAACACAUGCAAGUCGAACGGAAAGGCCCUGCUUUUGUGGGGUGCUCGAGUGGCGAACGGGUGAGUAACACGUGAGUAACCUGCCCUUGACUUUGGGAUAACUUCAGGAAACUGGGGCUAAUACCGGAUAGGAGCUCCUGCUGCAUGGUGGGGGUUGGAAAGUUUCGGCGGUUGGGGAUGGACUCGCGGCUUAUCAGCUUGUUGGUGGGGUAGUGGCUUACCAAGGCUUCGACGGGUAGCCGGCCUGAGCGGGGGAACGGGCACAAGGGGACUGAGAGACGGCGCAGACGGGAACGGGAGGCAGCAGGGGGGAAUAUUGCAGAACGGGCGGGAGCGUGAGGCAGCGACGCCGCGUGCGGGAUGACGGGUUUCGGGUUGAAAACCGCUUUCGCCUUUGACGAAGCGGGAGUGACGGUAACGGAUAAAGAAGCACCGGCUAACUACGUG
Molecule: ribosomal RNA, 468 nt
Filed under: uncultured bacterium
Lineage: Bacteria
Description: partial 16S ribosomal RNA
Rfam family: Bacterial small subunit ribosomal RNA
Source: RNAcentral